ACUUUUAAUAACAAAUCUCUUAGUUCUAGCAUUAAUAAAGAACAUAGCAAAAUGCAAUAAGUAAUAUAAAUUAUAGAAUUUAGUAAAUUAUUAAAUCUUUAAACGUAUAUUAUACCCACUAGUAUUCUAGUAGGUAUACCUAUUUAAGCGUUAUUUUAACCCUUAAGCCUGCUACAUACUUAGUGUUAGGGACUAGCCUACCUACCUCGUAGUGGCGGCCGCCCCUAAAAUAAAUUAGCAGUCUUAUUAUAGCCUCCUUUGCGUAGUAAUAUACUACCUUAUAACUAAGAGUAUAGCAUAGCUACUACUAUAAAACGCCUAACUUCUCUAAGAGUUAACCUUAAAUCAGGUAGGAAUACCUGCUAAACUUAAGUAUAUUAAUAAGCAAAGGAAAAGAAACUAACAAAAAUUACCCUAGUAAUAGCAAGUAAAGCAGUAAUAGCUUAAAUUUAAAAUCUAGCCCCUAGGGCUUAAGUUAUAAUUUACAGAGAAUACUUUUAGCAAGGCGCCUUUUAAGUUCCCUAGAACAGGAUACUACAAAGGGUAAGAGCCCUAUUUAGUUAGAUGCUAAGCCUCUAUAAAGCUCCUUUAAUAAGUUAAGUAGUUUAGGAAUACUGCUUUAAAUAGAAGGUAUAUAUUUUCUAAAGCUAAAUAUUAGCUAGAGACUAAUAGCGCAUAAGUAAAGUAAUUAAAAGAUAAAAAGCACUUUAAAAAGAGAGUUAAAUAGUAUAUAAAAUUAUUAAAAGGAAAGCGCUUAUAACUAGACUUAGGCCUAGUAAAUUAUCUAGCGUUCUUACUAGUGCACUUCGCUAGGCCUAGGCUAGCAUUAGUUCGCCCUAGGGGACAAAGGCUUUAGGAAUAUAGCUCCUCUAGGAGUGUUAUAGCCCUCUACGCAAUGCCCUAGGGCAGACUAAGGUCCACGCAUCUACAAGAAUACUAGCGUAAUAGUUAUUAGCAACCUGUCUUAAAACAUAGACUAAGGAGUUAUCCUUAUAUAUAAGUGUUUAGGUAUAAAACCCUUACACGUAAUAAAAGUAAACGUAAGUAAGAGCUUUAGCGCAUUAUUAACUAAUCCUAAUGUUCUUGGAUAGAUUUAAGUAAGAGCAUAUAAGGCUAGACCUAAAAGAAGGUAAACUAUGCCUAUAUAGGGUAAAGCUAGAGGAAACUCUAGUAGAGGCUUAUAGCGGUUCUAACGUGUAAAUUAAUUAUUAAAUAUAGGCAUAGGGGCAAAAGACUAAUUAAACCUUCUAGUAGCUAGUUUUCACUAAAGUUUCCCUUAGGAUAGUAGUGUUAAUCUUAGUUUUAUAAGGUAAAGCAAAUAAUUAGGGACUUAGGGGCUAUAUACUACCUUUAUCUAUUCUUAAACUUUAAAUAUAUAAGAAGCCCUUAUUACUUAAUUAAACAUAGGCAUUUAAAUGUAUUAACACUAGUAGGCUAUUUUUAGUAAGUAGAACUAGCGAUGUAAGAUAAACUAAACGCAAGGUUAAGGUGCUAGAGUAAACGCUUAUUAGACACCACAAAAGGUAUUAGUAUAUCUUAAUAGCAGGACAGUAGCUAUAGAAGUCAGAAUCCGCUAAGGACUAUAUAAUAACUUACCUACUAAAUAUACUAGCCCUAAAAAUAAAUAGCGCUUAAGUAUCUUACCUAUACCUUACCCUUAGGGUAAAAACAAAGCCCUAAGGAGUAGGCAGACAUAGGGGUUAGUAAUAAAGCCUAGGGCAUAAGCCUAGGUUAAACAGCCUCUAGUGUAAAUCUUAGUGGUAGUAGCAAAUACUUUAAUAAGAACUUAAAGGACUAAAGUAAGGAAAGGUUCUAUGUAAAUAGCGGUUAGAUAUAGGUUAGUCAAUCCUAAGCUAUAAGGAAGUUCCGUUUUAAAGGUAUACUUAUACGCUAUCUAGCAAAAGGGGAGCUAGUUAAUAUUCUAGCACCUAGAUAUAGGUUUUACAUAGUAAUAUAACUAAACGCAAAGACAAUAGCGGGGGCCCUAAGUAAAGUUCUCUUUUUUUCUUAAUAGUCUCUUACUUUAAAAUUAGUUUAUCUAAAGAUAGAGUUUAAUAGCUAGAAGAGCCUAGCACCUCUACUAGGUUUAGUGCGCUCCUAAUAUCCCUUAAAAAUCCAUAGGAAAGAAUAAUUCUCACGCUAGGUUAUACUCAUAACCGCAGCAGGUCUCUAAGGUAAAUAGCCUCUAGUUAAUAAAAUAAUAUAAAUAAGGGAAGUUAGUAAAAUAGAUUUAUAACUUUAGGAAAAGAAUUAGCUCUAAGGGUUAGGUGCGUUAGGCCUUAGGAGGACACCCUAGGAGCAAGCAGCCACUAGCCAGGCAACUAGCUAGCGGCAGCUAGCAUCCAGGUGCUAAUGCCCUUAGCAGGCCUCGGCUAUCUAGCGCACGAUUAAUAACUAACUUAGAACUAGUAUAGACAAGGGGAAUCUAACUAUCUAAUUAAAACAUAGCAUUACAAUAGCCAGAAAGUAGUGUUAACACAAUGUGAUUUCUGCCUAGUGCUCUAAAUAUCAAAGUGAAGUAAUUUAACCAAGCGCAGGUAAACAGCAGGAGUAACUAUAACUCUCUUAAGGUAGCUAAAUACCUUAUUAUCUAAUUAGUAACGCAUAUAAAUAAAUUAACAAGAUUCCCACUAUCCCUAUCUACUAUCUAGCAAAACCAUAGCUAAGGGAAUAGGCUUAGCAAAAUCAGCGGGGAAAGAAAACCCUAUUAAGCUU
Molecule: ribosomal RNA, 2715 nt
Filed under: Epichloe uncinata
Lineage: Eukaryota; Fungi; Ascomycota; Sordariomycetes; Hypocreales; Clavicipitaceae
Description: eukaryotic LSU rRNA
Rfam family: Eukaryotic large subunit ribosomal RNA (bases 336-2715)
Source: RNAcentral